Mauremys mutica (yellowpond turtle) is the source of this 521-nucleotide long non-coding RNA. RefSeq lists it as uncharacterized. The transcript is spliced from 3 exons. The record is from RefSeq and is a predicted model, not a curated record. NCBI's taxonomy places the organism in Eukaryota, Metazoa, Chordata, Testudines, Geoemydidae.
GUGGAGAUAACUUGUCCCCCCACCAGAUGGGGAAAAUGGGUCAUGUAACUCAAUCAGGCUGAGGGCUGCAGAGAGGAGGGAUAAAGUCUUCUGCAGGAGACCCUAUGAUUCCAGUGGAGAAAAUACUCCAGCAAGGAUUCCCUGAAACGCUGUGCUUCUCACUUUUUCAUUGAACCACGUACUUGAGGGGCCUGCCUGGUUCCUUGACACCUUCACAGCCAGCACAGAUUAUAAUUUGCCCUCCCCAGAGUGCUGCACUUCCUUACACACGCUGGACAGUACCACAUGCACUUCUGAAGGCCUUACUGCAAAGAGGAAGUACCAAAAAUCUCAUGGGAAAGCCUCUCCUCAGGAGAUCUGCAUACCUAAAGGAGCUACUUCAAGCUUUCCUGUGCCAAACCUGUGAGCUUUUUGAGGUUUGCUCAUCACUAAGUCAAUUUGCCAGAGUAAUGAUUGCAAGAUAAGUUUUAAGUUCUUCUAGGUAUUUCUUAGUGCCAAUUUUUUUAGUGUACAAAUUUUAA